Molecule: ribosomal RNA, 499 nt
Filed under: Klebsiella oxytoca
Lineage: Bacteria; Pseudomonadati; Pseudomonadota; Gammaproteobacteria; Enterobacterales; Enterobacteriaceae
Description: partial 23S ribosomal RNA
Rfam family: Bacterial large subunit ribosomal RNA
Source: RNAcentral
CUGUAAGCCGUUGAAGGUGGCCUGUGAGGGUUGCUGGAGGUAUCAGAAGUGCGAAUGCUGACAUAAGUAACGAUAAUGCGGGUGAAAAACCCGCACGCCGGAAGACCAAGGGUUCCUGUCCAACGUUAAUCGGGGCAGGGUGAGUCGACCCCUAAGGCGAGGCCGAAAGGCGUAGUCGAUGGGAAACAGGUUAAUAUUCCUGUACUUGGUGUUACUGCGAAGGGGGGACGGAGAAGGCUAUGUUGGCCGGGCGACGGUUGUCCCGGUUUAAGCAUGUAGGCGGAUGUUCCAGGUAAAUCCGGAACGUCACUAACGCUGAGGUGUGAUGACGAGGCACUACGGUGCUGAAGUGACAAAUGCCCUGCUUCCAGGAAAAGCCUCUAAGCAUCAGGUAACAUCAAAUCGUACCCCAAACCGACACAGGUGGUCAGGUAGAGAAUACCAAGGCGCUUGAGAGAACUCGGGUGAAGGAACUAGGCAAAAUGGUGCCGUAACUUCG